Molecule: ribosomal RNA, 694 nt
Filed under: uncultured bacterium
Lineage: Bacteria
Description: bacterial SSU rRNA
Rfam family: Bacterial small subunit ribosomal RNA
Source: RNAcentral
AACGCUAGCUACAGGCUUAACACAUGCAAGUCGAGGGGCAGCAUGUUGGUUGCUUGCAACCAAUGAUGGCGACCGGCGCACGGGUGAGUAACGCGUAUCCAACCUUCCCCUUACUCGGGUCCAGCCCGUUGAAAGACGGAUUAAUCCCCGAUGCUCUCAUAUACUGGCAUCAGUUUAUGAGCAAAGAUUUAUCGGUAAGGGAUGGGGAUGCGUAUGAUUAGCUUGUUGGUGUGGUAACGGCUCACCAAGGCUACGAUCAUUAGGGGUUCUGAGAGGAAGGUCCCCCACACUGGAACUGAGACACGGUCCAGACUCCUACGGGAGGCAGCAGUGAGGAAUAUUGGUCAAUGGAGGCAACUCUGAACCAGCCAAGUAGCGUGCAGGAUGACGGCCCUAUGGGUUGUAAACUGCUUUUAUGCGGGGAUAAACGAGCCUACGUGUAGGUUUUUGCAGGUACCGCAUGAAUAAGGACCGGCUAAUUCCGUGCCAGCAGUCGCGGUAAUACGGAAGGUCCGGGCGUUAUCCGGAUUUAUUGGGUUUAAAGGGAGCGUAGGCGGCCUGUUAAGCGUGUUGUGAAAUGUGGGUGCUCAACAUCUGCACUGCAGCGCGAACUGGCGGGCUUGAGUGGGCUGAAAGUAUGCGGAAUUCGUGGUGUAGCGGUGAAAUGCUUAGAUAUCACGAAGAACUCCGAUUG